Molecule: non-coding RNA, 26 nt
Filed under: Arabidopsis thaliana (thale cress)
Lineage: Eukaryota; Viridiplantae; Streptophyta; Magnoliopsida; Brassicales; Brassicaceae
Also listed under: 6 other names
Source: RNAcentral
GGUAGCCAAAUGCCUCGUCAUCUAAU